UACGUAGGGGGCAAGCGUUGUCCGGAAUUAUUGGGCGUAAAGCGCGCGCAGGCGGCCUUGUACGUCUGUCGUUUAAACUCGGAGCUCAACUUCGAGUCGCGAUGGAAACUGCAAAGCUUGAGUGCAGAAGAGGAAAGUGGAAUUCCACGUGUAGCGGUGAAAUGCGUAGAGAUGUGGAGGAACACCAGUGGCGAAGGCGACUUUCUGGGCUGUAACUGACGCUGAGGCGCGAAAGCGUGGGGAGCAAACAGG
Molecule: ribosomal RNA, 252 nt
Filed under: uncultured bacterium
Lineage: Bacteria
Description: partial 16S ribosomal RNA
Rfam family: Bacterial small subunit ribosomal RNA
Source: RNAcentral